CAGCAGCCGCGGGAAUACGAAGGGUGCAAGCGUGACUCGGAAUUACUGGGCGUAAAGCGUGCGUAGGUGGUGGUUUAAGUCCGUUGUGAAAGCCCUGGGCUCAACCUGGGAAUUGCAGUGGAUACUGGGUCACUAGAGUGUGGUAGAGGAUAGUGGAAUUUCCGGUGUAGCAGUGAAAUGCGUAGAGAUCGGAAGGAACAUCUGUGGCGAAGGCGACUAUCUGGGCCAACACUGACACUGAGGCACGAAAGCGUGGGGAGCAAACAGGAUUAGAUACCCGUGUAGUCCCUGUCUCUUAUAC
This 301-nucleotide ribosomal RNA is filed under the name uncultured bacterium. Its description in RNAcentral is "partial 16S ribosomal RNA". It matches the Rfam family "Bacterial small subunit ribosomal RNA", at positions 509 to 807 of the family's 1533-position model. The record is from RNAcentral.